CAAGCGCGAGUGAACGUCAUACGCGCGCGCUUCCGCAAAGUAGUGACAAAGAUGGCGGCCGCCGCCGGAUCAGGCGUCGUAGUUCCCCGCAGCUUUCGGCUGCUGGAGGAACUGGAGGAAGGUCAGAAGGGAGGUGGAGACGGUACAGUGAGCUGGGGCCUUGCAGAUGAUGACGACAUGACGCUGACUCACUGGAAUGGUAUGAUUAUUGGCCCCGCCAAGACUGUGUAUGAAGGCAGGAUAUACAGUCUGAAAAUAGAAUGUGGAUCCAGAUACCCAGAGAACCCCCCUCUUGUCCGGUUUGUGAACAAGAUCAACUUGAGCGGCGUACACAAUUCAAAUGGUGUGACUCAAAAGGACUGAGGACGUGCAGAGACAGAUGGGAGGUAUUAGCAAAACAAACGCACGUGUGAAAGUUGAACAGCCCAACCAGUGUGAUUUGCUAUCCAAUAAAUUUGUUUAGAAUUUGUCCAGAUUUCAACCAGCCCUGCUGUGGCACCUGAAGCAGCAUGAGAGGCUCAGGAAGGGAUAGCUGUAGCUAAUGGAGAUAGAGAUGUAGGAGAGGAGGAGGCGGAGGACAGCAGCCAACAUGAUGGUGUGGGAGAGCCAGCUAGGGCAGAAGCAACAGGUGGACAUUAAGGCGGUGACAGCGCUGUCCAGGUGGAAAAACUCCUACAACAUCCGGCUGGUGCUGCAGGAGCUCAGAC
Seriola dumerili (greater amberjack) is the source of this 707-nucleotide RNA transcript. It is a transcript of the gene named ubiquitin-conjugating enzyme E2 variant 1-like, with no coding region annotated. The transcript has 5 exons. NCBI's taxonomy places the organism in Eukaryota, Metazoa, Chordata, Actinopteri, Carangiformes, Carangidae. The record is from RefSeq and is a predicted model, not a curated record.